RNAcentral lists this unclassified non-coding RNA (231 nucleotides) under plant metagenome. Its description in RNAcentral is "partial contains small subunit ribosomal RNA, internal transcribed spacer 1, and 5.8S ribosomal RNA". The record is from RNAcentral.
UCUCCGUUGGUGAACCAGCGGAGGGAUCAUUACAGAGUUGCAAAACUCCCAAACCAUUGUGAACGUUACCUAUCCCGUUGCUUCGGCGGGCGGCCCGGGCCCCGCGCCCGGCGCCCCCCGGCCCCCCGUGGGCGCCCGCCGGAGGUAAACCAAACUCUUGAAUUGCAUGGCCUCUCUGAGUCUUCUGUACUGAAUAAGUCAAAACUUUCAGCAACGGAUCUCUUGGUUCUG